GUGCCUGUGGCUCAAGGAGUAGGGUGCUGGCCCCAUAUGCCAGAGGUGGUGGGUUCAAACCCAGCCCUGGCCCA
Non-coding RNA from Otolemur garnettii (small-eared galago), 74 nucleotides. NCBI's taxonomy places the organism in Eukaryota, Metazoa, Chordata, Mammalia, Primates, Galagidae. The record is from Rfam.